UUAACUCCACUUUAAAAAAAAAAUCUUUUAGGGGACAUACACAAGAAAACAAGACUCUAAUGAGUUAGAAUUUCAGUGAAGGAGAGAAUCCCUACAAAGAGAAGGCGUCUGAUGACUUCCUGACAUGGAUGCUACGAAAAUCCAAUGGAGAAUUUUAUUCAGGAACAAGUCUUCUAACAACGCAGAAAAAUGUUGUUCAACAUCCCCACCUACUGGUAACUCUACAGAAUAAUGUAUUACAAUUACUGAAAGAACUGAAAAUCGCUAGUUUUCCAAGAAAUACAUUACUACUACUAAUGACAAUGAUUAACGUGCACUGAGCACUUAUUUGGUUUGGAGAACUUUUCAGAGCUUUAUGAAAUGAUAAAUCACAGAAUAAUAAAAUAGUUUUUGGAUCGAGUCAGUCUAUCCUAAGGAAGAAAUAAUUUUCAGCAUUAUCACCGGGCAAGAGAACAAAUCAUUGCCCCAGUCCAAAGCAGGAUCUUGGGUCCACGCUGUCUUAAGUGCAGAAGGCUGCCAUGGCCUCCUAAACUGCCCCUCUGCCCUGGGUUUCCCCUCAGGCCUGUCCACUCUGCACUUUGACACAAAUUUUCUCAUGGUGAUCAAACACAAAGAAAGGAUUUAUGUUUUGAAUAAGCUCCCCCCCACCAAAAAAAAAAAAAAAAAUCUGAAAAAAAAUGAGCAGAGACAAUAGUCUUAAAAUGAAGUCUUUCAAUGGAUGGGAUUGGACCUGUGAGAGAAAAGGAUGCAAUGAUGAAGCCCAGAGACAACAGGGCAGGAAGUAUUUGACUUGUAAAUUUGAUUUGACAAAAUGUGUGAUGAUGUCAAAGCAGAUUCCCUACCCUGAUUAGAUAAAGUUCUCGUAGGCUAGGCUGAGGGAAGCCGAAGAUGGGGCAAGUUUGUGAUCUAGACAAUGAGAUCCUAAACCUGAGCUUGAAGCUGGUAUUACAAGUAUUUAGGGAAGGAAGGAGUGUGGUUUUUUGUUGUUGUUGUUGGUUUUUUUAAUAAGUGGAGGAUUGAUUCUUCUCCUACCCACUUAAGCCCCCAUGUUGCAUCAUAAAUGAAACAAGAUGGGAUUGGGAGGGAGACAAACCAUAAAUGACUCUUAAUCUCACAAAACAAACUGAGGGUUGCUGGGGGGAGGGGGUUUGGGAGAAGGGGGUGGGAUUAUGGACAUUGGGGAGGGUAUGUGCUUUGGUGAGUGCUGUGAAGUGUGUAAACCUGGUGAUUCACAGACCUGUACCCCUGGGGAUAAAAAUAUAUGUUUAUAAAAAA
Molecule: long non-coding RNA, 1275 nt
Filed under: Mustela putorius furo (domestic ferret)
Lineage: Eukaryota; Metazoa; Chordata; Mammalia; Carnivora; Mustelidae
Description: lncRNA (ENSMPUG00000029838.1)
Source: RNAcentral